CAGUAGCCACGGUAAUACGUAGGGUGCAAGCGUUAUCCGGAAUUAUUGGGCGUAAAGAGCUCGUAGGCGGUUUGUCGCGUCUGCUGUGAAAACUGGAGGCUCAACCUCCAGCCUGCAGUGGGUACGGGCAGACUAGAGUGCGGUAGGGGAGAUUGGAAUUCCUGGUGUAGCGGUGGAAUGCGCAGAUAUCAGGAGGAACACCGAUGGCGAAGGCAGAUCCCUGGGCCGUAACUGACGCUGAGGAGCGAAAGCGUGGGGAGCGAACAGGAUUAGAUACCCCUGUAGUCCCUGUCUCUUAUAC
Molecule: ribosomal RNA, 301 nt
Filed under: uncultured bacterium
Lineage: Bacteria
Description: partial 16S ribosomal RNA
Rfam family: Bacterial small subunit ribosomal RNA
Source: RNAcentral